RNAcentral lists this long non-coding RNA (329 nucleotides) under Olea europaea subsp. europaea. The record is from RNAcentral. Lineage: Eukaryota; Viridiplantae; Streptophyta; Magnoliopsida; Lamiales; Oleaceae.
CACAGAACAAACAAGAUCAAAUCUGAUGACUACUAACCUACCACAAUAUCACUCCACGGAAGUUAAAAAAAAAAAAAAGAACUUGUAGCGAGCUGCCCAGUUGGAUAUGACUCAAAAAAGCAAGACAGUAGACAACUACUUAGAUUAUCACUAAAUGUAGAAGCCACACCACAAGAAAGUCGAAUACAAAGAAAAUAGUGGUAAAGACCAUCAGACCAAAACACAAACAAGCACUAUAGACUGGUGAAGGAGACUAAUAGAUUUCAAGGUUGGAAAGACGCCCUACACCACAAGCAUUACACUGGUCAGAUCCCAUUGGUGUACAAGAU